AAUGAUGUGCCUGAAAAAAAGGAUUAUUUUGAUAGAAUAAAUUAUAUAAAUUUUUAUCUUCAUUA
RNAcentral lists this transfer RNA (65 nucleotides) under Polistes rothneyi. RNAcentral's name for it is "tRNA-Ile". Lineage: Eukaryota; Metazoa; Arthropoda; Insecta; Hymenoptera; Vespidae. The record is from RNAcentral.